Molecule: unclassified non-coding RNA, 393 nt
Filed under: uncultured Phycisphaeraceae bacterium
Lineage: Bacteria; Pseudomonadati; Planctomycetota; Phycisphaerae; Phycisphaerales; Phycisphaeraceae
Description: contains 16S-23S intergenic spacer region
Source: RNAcentral
UCCGAUUUGACACCGGCAGUCUCGCUAGAGUCCUCGGCGGCCCGAAGGCCCCGUUAGCAACUAGCGACAGGGGUUUCGCUCGUUAAGGGACUUAACCCAACACUUCACAGCACGAGCUGACGACAGCCAUGCAGCACCUGUGCACGUUCCACCCUUGCGGGCGUGGCUCCUGUUUCCAGGAGUUAAUCCGUGCAUGUCAAGCCCAGGAUAAGGUUCUUCGCGUUGCUUCGAAUUAAGCCACAUGCUCCACCGCUUGUGUGAGCCCCCGUCAAUUCCUUUGAGUUUUAGCCUUGCGACCGUACUCCCCAGGCGGUGCACUUAACACUUUUGCUUCGGCCCGGAUCGGGUCAGACCGACCCUGACCUAGUGCACAUCGUUUACGGCGUGGACUAC